CUUAAAGGUUGUGAUGUGUUUAACUUGCUUCAGAAAUGCAAGAGGAACAAGAGGCCAGAGUACUACUAAAACAGUUGUACAAGUAGAGACUCCAGCAGUUGGUGAAAUUCAAAGUAUAAGCAAAAAUUAAUAGUAUUUCAGAAGCUCUGAAGAACUAUUACCUCAUUCACUGUCAAUGCCUUGGAGAUUAAAAGCAUGAGGGCUAAUAUUUUCUGGCUGAAAUAAAAUGGACUAAUAUACUAUAAAAAUGGACACAAAUCUGACAUUACUGCAGGAAUAACACUUGCUUUAAAACUGCUUCUGCAUAGAUGAGGAGCUAAAGAAGAGGAAGUGUCCCAAACACAGAAAGAAGUUGUAGCACAGUACCAUGUCCUGUCUUUCCCCUUUGUCUCACUGCUACAGGGCACAAUAUUAAGGAAUGUGCAAGUACUUGAUUAUACCCUGUAGUAAUAAAGACUGAAGUUUAACUUGUCAACUGUACCUGACAUGAAACACCAGUGAAAUGCAAUUUUUAACCUUUACAUGAUCCUAUUGAGAUGUUCCUCAAAUGAACCUUGGAAACAGCAAGGUUUAGCCAAAUUCAGGAGGAGUUCAGAACCCUCACUGUGUACUCACACUCACACUGGCUCCAGGACCAGAGUCUUUGAACAGAGGCCACAUACAAGCAAGGAGUACAAGAUCAUCCUCUAGUUUUACACAACAAAGGAAGGUGAAAACUAGGAGGAGAAAUCUGUAGUUAAACGGAAAUCAGAAUAAUCCCUCACCUACGGAGUCCUGAAGCAGAUGGGGCACAUCUUCAUCUGUGCGCUGUGAGCUGAAAGCCUGAGUCUGCAGUCAGCAAUUACACAUUUCUACAGAGCUUUGCUGCCAGACAACAUGCCACAGUGGAGUGACUGCAAUUAGAAGUGGCAAAGGGAAUUCUAGACUAGACAAGAUGGCUGGUACCUAACAGUGCAACACUGAAUUUUGAAAAUUGUAACAUCUGUCUGACUGACAAGAAUCUGGAGCUGCCUGAAACACUGGAGCUGCAGCUUCUGAAGUAACUGUGUCUUUUGGCAAGGCCUGUAGAGUAUGAAGGAGAUGGACCACAGCACUGGAAACAGAGAGCCUAAUUAUAACAUAAGCAAAAGAAAAUAAAGUUAACUCCAAAAACCCCAAAAGCAAUAAACUGGUAAGUCUUGGUGCGGUAAUGAAAAGUAGAAAUAGAGAUGUUGCCACUGUAUAUAAGACACCUGUAUUGUCUUUUCAUGCAGUAACCUAUUACUAACAGUUCAAGAGACUGAAUUUAAUGGACUUUUUUGCAAGGUAGGAGGUAAAACAAUUUGAUUAUUUCUCACCCAAAAGCGUAUCCAAUCCCUAUAAUGCAUGGUUAGCUUUACCACAAACUUUGUAUGACGUAAUUAUUCAUUCUAAGUGAUUUAACUACUUUAUCUAUCUUACUGAGAUCUUAACUCUCUUAUGACUUACUGACAACAUUUAUUCAUUAGUUGCUCCAUGCUAUAAAACUCCAAGAAUUCUGUAAGUCAAGACAGGUAAAGAAAAGUGGUAAGUUUUUAUGAAACUCAAAGUUUCAGUAGCAUUCAAACAUCCAAGUGGUCUGUUAUUUAAGAAGGUAGAAGUUAGAAAAAUGGAAAAGAACUGAGGGAAUGUAUCAAACAUUGGAAAAAGGAAGAAAAAACAAUAUGAAAAUCUCACAGUCCACAGACUGUUUUUCUAAAAACAACUGGCUCUAGAUGCAUUUUAGUAACAUCC
This is a long non-coding RNA of Lepidothrix coronata (blue-crowned manakin), 1752 nucleotides long. RefSeq lists it as uncharacterized. The record is from RefSeq and is a predicted model, not a curated record. Lineage: Eukaryota; Metazoa; Chordata; Aves; Passeriformes; Pipridae. The transcript is spliced from 4 exons.